RNAcentral lists this ribosomal RNA (1191 nucleotides) under Escherichia coli. Its description in RNAcentral is "bacterial LSU rRNA". It matches the Rfam family "Bacterial large subunit ribosomal RNA", at positions 574 to 1767 of the family's 2925-position model. Lineage: Bacteria; Pseudomonadati; Pseudomonadota; Gammaproteobacteria; Enterobacterales; Enterobacteriaceae. The record is from RNAcentral.
UGGGAGCACGCUUAGGCGUGUGACUGCGUACCUUUUGUAUAAUGGGUCAGCGACUUAUAUUCUGUAGCAAGGUUAACCGAAUAGGGGAGCCGAAGGGAAACCGAGUCUUAACUGGGCGUUAAGUUGCAGGGUAUAGACCCGAAACCCGGUGAUCUAGCCAUGGGCAGGUUGAAGGUUGGGUAACACUAACUGGAGGACCGAACCGACUAAUGUUGAAAAAUUAGCGGAUGACUUGUGGCUGGGGGUGAAAGGCCAAUCAAACCGGGAGAUAGCUGGUUCUCCCCGAAAGCUAUUUAGGUAGCGCCUCGUGAAUUCAUCUCCGGGGGUAGAGCACUGUUUCGGCAAGGGGGUCAUCCCGACUUACCAACCCGAUGCAAACUGCGAAUACCGGAGAAUGUUAUCACGGGAGACACACGGCGGGUGCUAACGUCCGUCGUGAAGAGGGAAACAACCCAGACCGCCAGCUAAGGUCCCAAAGUCAUGGUUAAGUGGGAAACGAUGUGGGAAGGCCCAGACAGCCAGGAUGUUGGCUUAGAAGCAGCCAUCAUUUAAAGAAAGCGUAAUAGCUCACUGGUCGAGUCGGCCUGCGCGGAAGAUGUAACGGGGCUAAACCAUGCACCGAAGCUGCGGCAGCGACGCUGAUGCGUUGUUGGGUAGGGGAGCGUUCUGUAAGCCUGCGAAGGUGUGCUGUGAGGCAUGCUGGAGGUAUCAGAAGUGCGAAUGCUGACAUAAGUAACGAUAAAGCGGGUGAAAAGCCCGCUCGCCGGAAGACCAAGGGUUCCUGUCCAACGUUAAUCGGGGCAGGGUGAGUCGACCCCUAAGGCGAGGCCGAAAGGCGUAGUCGAUGGGAAACAGGUUAAUAUUCCUGUACUUGGUGUUACUGCGAAGGGGGGACGGAGAAGGCUAUGUUGGCCGGGCGACGGUUGUCCCGGUUUAAGCGUGUAGGCUGGUUUUCCAGGCAAAUCCGGAAAAUCAAGGCUGAGGCGUGAUGACGAGGCACUACGGUGCUGAAGCAACAAAUGCCCUGCUUCCAGGAAAAGCCUCUAAGCAUCAGGUAACAUCAAAUCGUACCCCAAACCGACACAGGUGGUCAGGUAGAGAAUACCAAGGCGCUUGAGAGAACUCGGGUGAAGGAACUAGGCAAAAUGGUGCCGUAACUUCGGGAGAAGGCACGCUGAUAUGUAGGUGAAG